RNAcentral lists this ribosomal RNA (366 nucleotides) under uncultured Enterobacteriaceae bacterium. RNAcentral describes it as "bacterial SSU rRNA". It matches the Rfam family "Bacterial small subunit ribosomal RNA", at positions 1014 to 1382 of the family's 1533-position model. Lineage: Bacteria; Pseudomonadati; Pseudomonadota; Gammaproteobacteria; Enterobacterales; Enterobacteriaceae. The record is from RNAcentral.
UGCCUUCGGAACUGUGAGACAGGUGCUGCAUGGCUGUCGUCAGCUCGUGUUGUGAAAUGUUGGGUUAAGUCCCGCAACCGAGCGCAACCCUUAUCCUUGUUGCCAGCGGUCCGGCCGGGAACUCAAAGGAGACUGCCAGUGAUAAACUGGAGGAAGGUGGGGAUGACGUCAAGUCAUCAUGGCCCUUACGACCAGGGCUACACACGUGCUACAAUGGCGCAUACAAAGAGAAGCGACCUCGCGAGAGCAAGCGGACCUCAUAAAGUGCGUCGUAGUCCGGAUUGGAGUCUGCAACUCGACUCCAUGAAGUCGGAAUCGCUAGUAAUCGUGGAUCAGAAUGCCACGGUGAAUACGUUCCCGGGCCUU